Molecule: ribosomal RNA, 58 nt
Filed under: Clostridium perfringens
Lineage: Bacteria; Bacillati; Bacillota; Clostridia; Eubacteriales; Clostridiaceae
Description: partial 16S ribosomal RNA
Rfam family: Bacterial small subunit ribosomal RNA
Source: RNAcentral
UAAAUUGAGAGUUUGAUCCUGGCUCAGGAUGAACGCUGGCGGCGUGCUUAACACAUGC